Thalassophryne amazonica is the source of this 98-nucleotide long non-coding RNA. RefSeq lists it as uncharacterized. The record is from RefSeq and is a predicted model, not a curated record. The transcript has 3 exons. NCBI's taxonomy places the organism in Eukaryota, Metazoa, Chordata, Actinopteri, Batrachoidiformes, Batrachoididae.
AAGCAGUUUCAGGUAUAGAUUUUGGCACAUAUCCCAAGCUGUUCAUUAGGGUCAUAUUAGUCUUUAACAGGUGAGUUAAGAUCUCCUAAAUGAUGUGC